GAGGCUGUGGCUCAGUGGUAGAGCACUUGCCUCACAUGUACGAGGCCCUGGGUUCGAUUCUCAGCACCACA
Molecule: transfer RNA, 71 nt
Filed under: Marmota monax (woodchuck)
Lineage: Eukaryota; Metazoa; Chordata; Mammalia; Rodentia; Sciuridae
Description: tRNA.Val
Rfam family: tRNA (bases 6-66)
About the family: Transfer RNA (tRNA) molecules are approximately 80 nucleotides in length.
Source: RNAcentral